This 24-nucleotide non-coding RNA is filed under the name Mus musculus (house mouse). Lineage: Eukaryota; Metazoa; Chordata; Mammalia; Rodentia; Muridae. The record is from RNAcentral.
UGGAAUCAUAGAUGUUGCCCUGGA